CCUACGGGCGGCAGCAGUGAGGAAUAUUGGUCAAUGGGCGAGAGCCUGAACCAGCCAAGUCGCGUGAGGGAGUACUGCCCUAUGGGUUGUAAACCUCUUUUGUCGGGGAGCAAAAGCCGGACGUGUCCGGCUGUGAGAGUACCCGAAGAAAAAGCAUCGGCUAACUCCGUGCCAGCAGCCGCGGUAAUACGGAGGAUGCGAGCGUUAUCCGGAUUUAUUGGGUUAAAAGGGUGCGCAGGCGGAUUUUUAAGUCAGCGGUAAAAUCGUGGGGCUCAACCCUAUCCAGCCGUUGAAACUGGGGAUCUAGAGUGUGCGAGAGGUAUGCGGAAUGCGUGGUGUAGCGGUGAAAUGCAUAGAUAUCACGCAGAACCCCGAUUGCGAAGGCAGCAUACCGGUGCACAACUGACGCUCAGGCACGAAAGCGUGGGUAUCGAACAGGAUUAGAUACCCUUGUAGUC
This 458-nucleotide ribosomal RNA is filed under the name uncultured bacterium. Its description in RNAcentral is "partial 16S ribosomal RNA". It matches the Rfam family "Bacterial small subunit ribosomal RNA", at positions 338 to 795 of the family's 1533-position model. The record is from RNAcentral.